AUGAUGCUUUAUGAAAUAAAGCAUCAUUAAAAUAAUCACACAUUAUUUAGUGAAAAUAACAUUUUAUUUGUUCUUUAGUUUGAAACAGCCGAAAUUUUCGUUAACCAAGCUACUAUCAAGCACUAUAUAAAAGAUUGGAAGAUUUAUAAAAGGGUGUGUUAAAACAUCAUCAACACAUUUAACAUUAGUUUUAUGUUUACCUUCAAUGUUUUGUAGUUGUCCGGUAUUAAUUUAUAGAACCUUUUUUAUACAGAAAAAAAACUUUGUUUUAAAACUUUAUUAAAACAGAAUUUGCGUUAUUGUAACUUUUUAUUUUUCAGGUUGGGGGGGGGGGGGGUUACACGCUCCUCCCGUACAUCAAUGCAAGUUGUGUAUUUGAAUUCCUGUAAAAUAUAGUUUUAUUAUGUAUACUAUUGAUUUCAAUGUAGAAAAGAUAAAAAUUUUAAUGAAAA
Molecule: non-coding RNA, 452 nt
Organism: Hydra vulgaris (swiftwater hydra)
Lineage: Eukaryota; Metazoa; Cnidaria; Hydrozoa; Anthoathecata; Hydridae
Source: RefSeq, a predicted model, not a curated record